Ictidomys tridecemlineatus (thirteen-lined ground squirrel) is the source of this 753-nucleotide non-coding RNA. The record is from RefSeq and is a predicted model, not a curated record. NCBI's taxonomy places the organism in Eukaryota, Metazoa, Chordata, Mammalia, Rodentia, Sciuridae.
AACUCGGCCGGCUGGCGAGGCCACCCCGGACAGACUCCGGCCUCGCGGGCUGCAGAAGCGCGUCCCGGGGCUGCCCUCCUACUCCAUGGUUCGCGCCGGGGGGACCCAGGGCUGAGCUGGGGCUGGACCACGCCGAGUGGACCGAGCGAGCUGGGAGCGCGGACGAGUGUGGGUUCCCUCAGCCUGCAACCACGCGGCUGGUACUAAAGAGGACUUAAAAAUAUGUGAGUUCAUCCAGACUGGAGUGCGUGUCUUGUGUUAUUGCCAUCAAGUGUUUGGAGACAUGGAAAAGAAAGUUUAGGAGCCCCGAAGAGUCCAGCUAUCUAGGAAAGACACUCAAAUCGUGUUUUCUAGUGAAAACUCUCAAAAGACAACCUUAAGAAGAAAAUUUCAGUCUCUGAUACUCCUGUCUGAGAAGGACUUUGAUUGGAAAAAGCAGCAUCACCGGCAGAGGUGCAAGGAUCCUCCCAAGAAUGACAGAGCAAACCCCUUUAAUCCCCUACCAAGCAACAAUCCAUGGUUUCCAGAGCACUGGUAAAUAUUCCACCAAAUGCAGAGCUAGAAGGAACCAAUACCUAAUUCUGGAUUUUCCACAGAUGUGCAAGAUGAGAAAAUGUCACAUCUUCCAGAUGCCUUCAUUUUAUUAAGAAUACCAGUUUUGUACAUGUAUGAAGACUUGAAUUGGGUGUGAACAUACUUUGUGUACAGAGACAUGAAAAAUUGUGGUAUAUAUGUGUAUUAAGAAUUGUAAUG